Molecule: ribosomal RNA, 432 nt
Filed under: uncultured bacterium
Lineage: Bacteria
Description: partial 16S ribosomal RNA
Rfam family: Bacterial small subunit ribosomal RNA
Source: RNAcentral
AGCGAACGCUGGCGGCAGGCCUAACACAUGCAAGUCGAACGAACUCUUCGGAGUUAGUGGCGGACGGGUGAGUAACACGUGGGAACGUGCCUUUAGGUUCGGAAUAACUCAGGGAAACUUGUGCUAAUACCGAAUGUGCCCUUCGGGGGAAAGAUUUAUCGCCUUUAGAGCGGCCCGCGUCUGAUUAGCUAGUUGGUGAGGUAAAGGCUCACCAAGGCGACGAUCAGUAGCUGGUCUGAGAGGAUGUUCAGCCACAUUGGGACUGAGACACGGCCCAAACUCCUACGGGAGGCAGCAGUGGGGAAUCUUGCGCAAUGGGCGAAAGCCUGACGCAGCCAUGCCGCGUGAAUGAUGAAGGUCUUAGGAUUGUAAAAUUCUUUCACCGGGGACGAUAAUGACGGUACCCGGAGAAGAAGCCCCGGCUAACUUCGU